CCUACGUUGCAGCUCAAAAUUUGAAGGAGAAAGAUCUCCAUUGCAUCAUUGAUUCUGUGAAGCUUCUCGUAUCUAUUUUUCUUUUGCUUUCUGUUUCUUUUUCAGUCUCGUCUUUGCCGUAACGUUAUAUAUAGCUUCUUCUUUUUUUGUUUUCUAAACUCUCAAUUUGAUGCAUCAUUGCUGAUCAGUUUCUAUGCCUAUGAUAACCUGUACAUUGUUUGGUUUAGUAGAGGAAGAAAGCCAAAGGUUGUUAGCAUGGGAUAGACCACACAACUUCGUUAUUGGUCUAUCUGUUGGCAACGGAGAAUUUUGGGAUGAAACUUGAAUUUGUUGGAAUUCCGAUCUAAUGUGCUUCUUGCGUUCCUGAAAACCUCCAUCUUCAACUUGCUCAUGGACAAGUGAUUGUUGAGCAAGUUGAGAAUGGAAGUUCUCCGAGACGUUAGUCCUUCCUUUAGUUGACUUGUAUAGGUGGAUCGGAUGAAACAAUUUUCAGUGCAAAGAUCUGUUGAACAAGUAAGGGUAAGAUUCGCUUGGCAUAAUUCUUUCUGGGAAGUCUGUGCCCAUUAAGAAAUUCUUUGUGUUUCCAUAUUCAGUGCUUUUAUGUGUGUGUCCCCUUUCAUAAACUCUUCUAGAGAUAGCAAAAGACGGAUGUGAGAUAGGUCAUUGGAAAUUCUCGAACAUCACAUGGUAUUUAAGUAUUUUUUGGUAAGUUUUACCAGUGAAACGAAAAUAGCGGCAUGCAAGGUGAAUUGAAUUCCUAUUUCUGAAGUGUACAGCAGCUUAAAUCAGAGGCCAAGCUUAUUGUAUCUGUAAAUUCAAGGAAAAUAUUUUGUCAUCCACAAGUGUCUAUAUGCUGAAGAAAGGUUGGAAACUUUGAAGGGAGUGGUCAGCAAUGACGUUUAUAAAUUUUUGGUGACUUCUUGAGACGCAUUCUAAACAAAUUUUUUGCACCCCUUAAAACUUGAAACCACUUGCUCAUGACCCUUUUCAGGCACCACGUUGUCUUGAAAAAAACAGUUUGAAGUAUUCCUGACAAAGAACGUGUCAAAAAGGAGCUUAUUCUUACCUGCUGACAUAUGCGAUCAUUCUGUAACUGCCCUUUUUGUCUGAAUUCUCUUGAAGUACACGUGGUUCUGCGAUAAUGCACGGAUUAACCACUUGCUACUGAAUCGUGGCAAAAGAUGGUGGGGGGAUCUCUUGGAUGAUUUGGAAAAUCCCUCAAGAAGUGCUUCACGACAUAGGGUAAUUUCCUAAAGGCCAAAGAGUUCUUCCUGCUGUCUUUGACAUAUAGGAAGAGUAACAUAAAUUUGACGAAAACGGCUUAAAAGUAAUGGACAUUGAUGGGUUCUUGCAAUCAAGAACCUAUGGAAAAGCACUCGAGAACACACAAAGACAAGUUCUCUGAAUUAUACAGCCUCCUUUUAUUCAAAAGAAUCAACAAGAAUGGUGUUACAACCUAACCCGAGAGCUUAACCUCUCUCCAAAGAACUACAAGAGUUCCCGCAAACAAUAAUACUCCAAAACUAAUCCCAGCCAACCACUAAUCCCCCCUUUUAUAUCACUUACUAACAGUCCUAACAGAAAACUAUCCCUAACUGCCUUGGCAGUUAGGCUCUGUGACUUUACCCCUCCUCCUAUAUAUAAUUAACUUCCUAAAAUUACUCCCCUCUCCUCCAACAACCUUGUUCCCAAGGUUGAACUCCGGGUAUUGCUCUUGUAUAGUCACCUCAUCUUCCCAUGUGGCACUCUCUUGUCCCCCUUCUUGCCAUUCUAUCAAGACUUGGAGUAUUUCCUCUGUUCCCAGUUGUCGAGUUCUCCUGUCCAGCACCUUGGCUGG
This is a long non-coding RNA of Vigna angularis (adzuki bean), 1837 nucleotides long. RefSeq lists it as uncharacterized. The transcript is spliced from 3 exons. The record is from RefSeq and is a predicted model, not a curated record. NCBI's taxonomy places the organism in Eukaryota, Viridiplantae, Streptophyta, Magnoliopsida, Fabales, Fabaceae.